Molecule: ribosomal RNA, 460 nt
Filed under: uncultured bacterium
Lineage: Bacteria
Description: partial 16S ribosomal RNA
Rfam family: Bacterial small subunit ribosomal RNA
Source: RNAcentral
CCUACGGGUGGCAGCAGGGAGGAAUAUUGGUCAAUGGCCGGAAGGCUGAACCAGCCAAGUAGCGUGAAGGAAGAAGGACCUAUGGUGUGUAAACUUCUUUUAUAGGGGAAUAAAGUUAUCCACGUGUGGAUUUUUGCAUGUACCCUAUGAAUAAGCAUCGGCUAACGCCGUGCCAGCAGCCGCGGUAAUACGGAGGAUGCGAGCGUUAUCCGGAUUUAUUGGGUUUAAAGGGUGCGUAGGUUGUUUUUUAAGUCAGCGGUGAAAGUUUGUGGCUCAACCAUAAAAUUGCCGUUGAAACUGGAAGACUUGAGUGUGUUUGAGGUAGGCGGAAUGCGUGGUGUAGCGGUGAAAUGCAUAGAUAUCACGCAGAACUCCGAUUGCGAAGGCAGCUUACUAAGCCAUAACUGACACUGAGGCACGAAAGCGUGGGGAUCAAACAGGAUUAGAUACCCCAGUAGUC